Molecule: ribosomal RNA, 526 nt
Filed under: uncultured bacterium
Lineage: Bacteria
Description: bacterial SSU rRNA
Rfam family: Bacterial small subunit ribosomal RNA
Source: RNAcentral
CUACGUGCCAGCAGCCGCGGUAAUACGUAGGUCCCGAGCGUUGUCCGGAUUUAUUGGGCGUAAAGCGAGCGCAGGCGGUUAGAUAAGUCUGAAGUUAAAGGCUGUGGCUUAACCAUAGUACGCUUUGGAAACUGUUUAACUUGAGUGCAAGAGGGGAGAGUGGAAUUCCAUGUGUAGCGGUGAAAUGCGUAGAUAUAUGGAGGAACACCGGUGGCGAAAGCGGCUCUCUGGCUUGUAACUGACGCUGAGGCUCGAAAGCGUGGGGAGCAAACAGGAUUAGAUACCCUGGUAGUCCACGCCGUAAACGAUGAGUGCUAGGUGUUAGACCCUUUCCGGGGUUUAGUGCCGUAGCUAACGCAUUAAGCACUCCGCCUGGGGAGUACGACCGCAAGGUUGAAACUCAAAGGAAUUGACGGGGGCCCGCACAAGCGGCGGAGCAUGUGGUUUAAUUCGAAGCAACGCGAAGAACCUUACCAGGUCUUGACAUCCCUCUGACCGCUCUAGAGAUAGAGCUUUCUUCGGGACA